Molecule: ribosomal RNA, 440 nt
Filed under: uncultured bacterium
Lineage: Bacteria
Description: partial 16S ribosomal RNA
Rfam family: Bacterial small subunit ribosomal RNA
Source: RNAcentral
CCUACGGGGUGCAGCAGUGGGGAAUAUUGCACAAUGGGGGAAACCCUGAUGCAGCGACGCCGCGUGAAGGAAGAAGUAUUUCGGUAUGUAAACUUCUAUCAGCAGGGAAGAAAAUGACGGUACCUGACUAAGAAGCCCCGGGUAACUACGGUCCAGCAGCCGCGGUAAUACGUAGGGGGCAAGCGUUAUCCGGAUUUACUGGGUGUAAAGGGAGCGGAGGCGGUUUAGCAAGGCAGAAGUGAAAGCCCGGGGCGAAAAUCGGGGACUGCUUUUGAUAUUGUUGAACUAGAUUGCAGGAGAGGUAAGUUGAAGUCCUAGUGUAGCGGUGAAAUGCGUAGAUAUUAGGAGGAACACCAGUGGCGAAGGCGGCUUACUGGACUGUAAAUGACGCUGAGGCUCGAAAGCGUGGGGAGCAAACAGGAUUAGAUACCCGGGUAGUC